Molecule: ribosomal RNA, 119 nt
Filed under: Pteropus alecto (black flying fox)
Lineage: Eukaryota; Metazoa; Chordata; Mammalia; Chiroptera; Pteropodidae
Source: RNAcentral
GUCUACGGCCAUGCUACCCUGAACAAGCCCGAUCCCAUCUGAUCUCGGAAGCUAAAAAGGGUCGGGCCUGGUUAGUACUUAGAUGGGAGACCACCUAGGAAGACCAGGUGCUGUAGGCA